UGGGGAAUUUUGGACAAUGGGCGCAAGCCUGAUCCAGCAAUGCCGCGCGCAGGAUGAAGGCCUUCGGGUUGUAAACUGCUUUUGUACGGAGCGAAAAGGUCUGCCCUAAUACGGUGGGCUCAUGACGGUACCGUAAGAAUAAGCACCGGCUAACUACGUGCCAGCAGCCGCGGUAAUACGUAGGGUGCGAGCGUUAAUCGGAAUUACUGGGCGUAAAGCGUGCGCAGGCGGUUAUAUAAGACAGAUGUGAAAUCCCCGGGCUCAACCUGGGACCUGCAUUUGUGACUGUAUAGCUAGAGUACGGUAGAGGGGGAUGGAAUUCCGCGUGUAGCAGUGAAAUGCGUAGAUAUGCGGAGGAACACCGACGGCGAAGGCAAUCCCCUGGACCUGUACUGACGCUCACGCACGAAAGCGUGGGGAGCAAACA
RNAcentral lists this ribosomal RNA (427 nucleotides) under uncultured bacterium. RNAcentral describes it as "bacterial SSU rRNA". It matches the Rfam family "Bacterial small subunit ribosomal RNA", at positions 355 to 774 of the family's 1533-position model. The record is from RNAcentral.